AUUGAACGCUGGCGGCAGGCCUAACACAUGCAAGUCGAGCGGAUGAAGGGAGCUUGCUCCUGGAUUCAGCGGCGGACGGGUGAGUAAUGCCUAGGAAUCUGCCUGGUAGUGGGGGAUAACGUCGGGAAACGGGCGCUAAUACCGCAUACGUCCUGAGGGGGAAAGCGGGGGAUCUUCGGACCUCACGCUAUCAGAUGAGCCUAGGUCGGAUUAGCUAGUUGGUGGGGUAAAGGCCUACCAAGGCGACGAUCCGUAACUGGUCUGAGAGGAUGAUCAGGCACACUGGAACUGAGACACGGUCCAGACUCCUACGGGAGGCAGCAGUGGGGAAUAUUGGACGAAGGGCGAAAGCCUGAUCCAGCCAUGCCGCGUGUGUGAAGAAGGUCUUCGGAUUGUAAAGCACUUUAAGUUGGGAGGAAGGGCAGUAAGUUAAUACCUUGCUGUUUUGACGUUACCAACAGAAUAAGCACCGGCUAACUUCGUG
Molecule: ribosomal RNA, 484 nt
Filed under: uncultured bacterium
Lineage: Bacteria
Description: partial 16S ribosomal RNA
Rfam family: Bacterial small subunit ribosomal RNA
Source: RNAcentral